This is a long non-coding RNA of Solenopsis invicta (red fire ant), 3349 nucleotides long. RefSeq lists it as uncharacterized. The record is from RefSeq and is a predicted model, not a curated record. Lineage: Eukaryota; Metazoa; Arthropoda; Insecta; Hymenoptera; Formicidae. The transcript has 3 exons.
AAGAAAAAGUAAAGCGGCAAAGAACGUACUUUUCGGUUAUUGUACUUAUUUAUCUGUAAUUAUGCAGGCGAACCAGCAUUCGUGCUGUACAUUUCAGUCUCGAGCCGCCGGGCGGCGAAAGCCCUAUGAUGGGAGUAAAAUCAUGGCAGAAAAACGCCACAGCGCGGCAGAUGAGGAGUCAGUAUGUAAUGGAAGAUGUUCAGAGUCGAUCUUAGAUUAAGUUGGAGAGUAUAUUAUUGUCGUUUAUUUAUGUUUUUUUCAAAAUGUAUAUUAGUUUAAUUUAUUUUUGGUUAUUAUACAAGUGGCACGAAAAAAUCGGUGCAUGAAAUCUAAUUUUGAACAAGAACCGUGCGAUUUUCGGGAGUGCGCAUAAAUAAUAUGAAGGAUGCGUAGACCGUGAAAAAGAAUCGCGAGUGCGGCAAUGUAAAGAAUUAUUUGACCGUAUGCGUGGUCAGAGAAUGUGCGCGAAAUAGGAACAUAAGAAACGAUUACGCAAGGCUAAACACGAAACAGCGAGCGCAAGUGAUACUUAUAAUUAGUUGUAAAGAAAGACAUUAAUAAACAUUGUUAAUUUUAUUAUAAAGUGAAUGAUGGUAAACUUGAGUCAUUACGUACCUAUCGUCAUUACCCGAUUCUCAGUGAACCUCAGGGCGUAGGUGGAAAUAAAACAAUAAAAUUAACAAAGUGUAUGAUCACGAGUGCAUUUCUUAUCCGACGGACCAGAGACGUCUAGAGUAUCAUUGGUAUCAAUUUUAAAAUACACUUAUAUAACCCAAAUAUUAAUACAAUUUAAAGGACAUUUUGACUAACAUCUUUGAUAUUUUAAAUAUAACAUUUAAAAGAAAAUAAUGAAAAUUAUCAGAUAUAAUAAUAGUAUAUAUUACAUUGAAUCACGUACAUUAAUCAGAAUCUCAGGAAAAAUGCUUUUUUCUUUUAGAUUUUUUGUGCCUUUAACUAAAUAAAAUUUGUCAUAACAUUUAAAAACUCGUCACAUUGCACUGUUCUAAUGUUUUACUUCUUAAUUCAUUUUGAUCUAUCAGUAAAGAUUAAAAUUUUUCAAAACGCUCGUUUUUUAGUUGCGUAUUUGCGCAAGCAACUCUUUUAGAACAAUGCUUAUAUUAUUUUUCUUUGGUUUUAUUGUUUUGUUAACGUUCUCAAAAAUAUUCGCAAUUUUUGAAUUAUAAUUUUUAGUUUCUUCUAUAUUUUUUGUUCAACUAUCUUGUAUAUUGAUGCUUGUAUAUUAUCUACACCCUCAUUAUUUUUUUCAUUAUUUUCUUUUUUAUUGCACGUAUCAAAUCGAAGCUGUAUUUAAAUCUUUAAGUAAAUCCAAUAAAUUUAUUGGUUUACUACGUUUUUCUCCAUUGAGGUCAUGCAUUUUCUCAAAAUACUUGUCGGCUUUUUCUUUUCUGUGCCAGUAGAUUUUAUAAUACAAUUAAUGAGUGGAAAAUAGGCUAAUGAGAAUCAGCGCGGUUCAAAGAGCGCAAUCAUAAGUAUAGAUAUUGAAUCAUUUAUUUAAUUCAAAAUUACAAAACAAACAUUUCGACUCGCUUUGGAGUCAGCUGCAGCGUGACAAAAAAUAGAACAGGCAAUAGAAAUAGAAGCCGUCAUCAGUCAUCGAAAACGGGAAGCAUCCCAGUCGCCAACGGUUUGACAAAUCCGUGGUGGCAUUUUUAACAGUGAAAAUAUCGCAAGAGAUGAUCCUUAACUGUAUAACUGUCGUGUAAUUAUUUUGAAUCUCGAAAAAUUAUUCUAAUUGAGACUAUAUUUUCUCAUCGUCGUGUCGCAAAAAAUGACACUUCACCAUAUAAUUGUCAAAUGAUUAUUUUAGAUGUCGAAAAAUUAUUUUACUUGCGAUUGUAUGUACUCAUGGAUCUCAUUUCGAGCUGAUGACGACUAAUGAAGCUUGAGAUAAGUUUUGUUUGAAGAAAUCAAUUUCUUUUGACGAAGUAAGCACUCAAACGUUAUUUGUUUCACCCCAACACGUGCUCACGGGUCCGAAUUACAGUUAGUCCGUACUAACUGAUCGGAAUAUUCCGUCUUACUUGAACGUUACGCAGGUGGUUGAAAAUAAUCAACGGCAAAUUCAAAUGUAUGAAUACUGUAAGAGAAUCUUAAACAUAACAAUUAUCGAGCGAGCUAUAAGGAGCAUGAUAGCGAAUAGUAGCCGAAUGGGUCACAGAGGAAGCGAGGGCGCAGAGCGUCAGGUGACGAGAAAAGGGAGCAGGAUUGAGGAGACGCCCCGUGGGCGCCCACGAAGCAUGCGAGGAGGAGAACAUGCUCCCUCUUUGGACGGUUGCUUCUUCCCGUCUUUCCUUCUGACUUCGCGAUCCACCUAUCCCCUCCAUACAACCGCUCUCGGUCCCUACUAUGCUACAGAAUAGGCUUGUUUUCUAUUCCUGCACUAGACUGCACUGGAACGUUUCUUCUUGCUUUCACUAACUUUCAAAUAUAUAUCUAUUUCAUUUUAAGUGCACACUAAUUCAGGGAGUUCAGGAACAGAAAACAAACGGUAUGUGCACGUGACUCGCGCGUGUGGAAGGGAAAGCGGAAAAGCUCGAGCUAUAGUUUGUGAGCCAUGCCUGGAGGAGAGCAUCGAGAGCGCGGUAUGAGUGUCACGUGUAAGAAAGUCGGGAUUAAAAAUUUGAGUUUUGGUUGGAUAGAGUGAGAGAGCUUCGGGGCGUAGUAAGGCCUCCUCCGCUCACUAUUAAUUAUUCUCAUUAUUAUUAAAUUAAAUUAUUCAUUACGCGGUUCUUUGGGAAACUUAAUUCAAGUUGUGCAAAAGAUACGGCGUACCACGUGCGUAAAGUGGUAUCGGAUUACGUAAUUACUGCUCUCCCCGGUUCGGUUUCCGACCAGUUAACCGUCAAUACAUUCACGUUCGGCAAAAGUAAUUAUUAUAGUUAUUGUAAAUCUAUUUGAGCCAGACAAUAAAUACGUUCGUGACAUUUUGUGCCAUAUACAAAAGCAGUGAGUUAUCUCUAAUUUUCAUCCUGACCACCCAACUCCAUGAACAAACGAAAAAAAAGUGAACGCUGACUCUUUAUCGAUUUGCUGUAAAGUGCAGUAUCUUACAAAUACCAAAAAUAUAUAGAAUAACUUGACGAUAUUCAACGAGAUAUAUUAUGGCUAAAGCACAAUAUAGAACUUUAGACUGAAGUUAUUGAAAAAUAAGCUACAAUUUUUUAAACAAGAAGAAACUUUGCAAUUCAAAACGAGUUUCUUAAAGAAUGGACACCUAAAGAUAAAUCAAACAAUAUAUUUGGUCGGCCAUCCAUCAUCAAUGCAAAAUAUUUGGACUUAAGGUGCAGAAGAAAAGAAUCAGUAAAUAGACUGAAAUUGCUGAGGAUAU